GAUGAAGAACGCAGCGAAAUGCGAUAACUAAUGUGAAUUGCAGAAUUCAGUGAAUCAUCGAGUCUUUGAACGCACAUUGCGCCCCCUGGUAUUCCGGGGGGCAUGCCUGUCCGAGCGUCAUUGCUGCCCUCAAGCACGGCUUGUGUGUUGGGCUCCGUCCCCCCGGGGACGGGCCCGAAAGGCAGCGGCGGCACCGAGUCCGGUCCUCGAGCGUAUGGGGCUUUGUCACCCGCUCUGUAGGCCCGGCCGGCGCCAGCCGACAACCCAUCAUCCUUUUCAGGUUGACCUCGGAUCAGGUAGGGAUACCCGCUGAACUUAAGCAUAUCAAUAAGCGAGGA
Molecule: unclassified non-coding RNA, 338 nt
Filed under: soil metagenome
Description: partial contains 5.8S ribosomal RNA, internal transcribed spacer 2, and large subunit ribosomal RNA
Rfam family: 5.8S ribosomal RNA (bases 1-120)
Source: RNAcentral